GACGAACGCUGGCGGCGUGCUUAACACAUGCAAGUCGAACGGAAAGGCCCUGCUUUUGUGGGGUGCUCGAGUGGCGAACGGGUGAGUAACACGUGAGUAACCUGCCCUUGACUUUGGGAUAACUUCAGGAAACUGGGGCUAAUACCGGAUAGGAGCUCCUGCUGCAUGGUGGGGGUUGGAAAGUUUCGGCGGUUGGGGAUGGACUCGCGGCUUAUCAGCUUGUUGGUGGGGUAGUGGCUUACCAAGGCUUUGACGGGUAGCCGGCCUGAGAGGGUGACCGGCCACAUUGGGACUGAGAUACGGCCCAGACUCCUACGGGAGGCAGCAGUGGGGAAUAUUGCACAGUGAGCGGAAGCCUGAUGCAGCAACGCCGCGUGCGGAAUGACGGCCUUCGGGUUAUAAACCGCUUUCGCCUGUGACGAAGCGUGAGUGACGGUAAUGGGUAAAGAAGCACCGGCUAACUACGUG
RNAcentral lists this ribosomal RNA (468 nucleotides) under uncultured bacterium. RNAcentral's name for it is "partial 16S ribosomal RNA". It matches the Rfam family "Bacterial small subunit ribosomal RNA", at positions 28 to 507 of the family's 1533-position model. The record is from RNAcentral.